GACGGGGAGCACCACAACGGGUGGAGCUUGCGGUUUAAGUUGGAUUCAACGCCGGAAAUCUUACCGGGACCGACAGCAAUAUGAAGGCCAGGCUGAAGACUUUGCCGGAUUAGCUGAGAGGUGGUGCAUGGCCGUCGUCAGUUCGUACUGUGAAGCAUCCUGUUAAGUCAGGCAACGAGCGAGACCCACGCCCACAGUUGCCAGCGUACUCUCUGGAGUGACGGGGUACACUGUGGGGACCGCCGCUGCUAAAGCGGAGGAAGGAAUGGGCAACGGUAGGUCAGCAUGCCCCGAAUUAUCUGGGCUACACGCGGGCUACAAUGGGUGGGACAAUGGGUAUCGACACCGAAAGGUGAAGGCAAUCUCCUAAACCCAUCCGUAGUUCGGAUUGUGGGCUGCAACUCGCCCACAUGAAGCUGGAAUCUGUAGUAAUCGUGUCUCAAAAUGGCACGGUGAAUAUGUCCCUGCUCCUU
Molecule: ribosomal RNA, 473 nt
Filed under: uncultured Methanolinea sp.
Lineage: Archaea; Methanobacteriati; Methanobacteriota; Methanomicrobia; Methanomicrobiales; Methanoregulaceae
Description: bacterial SSU rRNA
Rfam family: Archaeal small subunit ribosomal RNA
Source: RNAcentral